CUUACUGGUCACCAAUAUUAGUGGUGAAGAACAGCAAUUGUCAGAUUUCGAAGGUGAAGCUGUCGGACAAGAUGUAAAUGAUUUCCGAG
This is a long non-coding RNA of Saccoglossus kowalevskii, 89 nucleotides long. The record is from RefSeq and is a predicted model, not a curated record. Lineage: Eukaryota; Metazoa; Hemichordata; Enteropneusta; Harrimaniidae.